UACGUAGGGGGCAAGCGUUAUCCGGAUUUACUGGGUGUAAAGGGGGCGCAGACGGCGAUGCAAGCCAGGAGUGAAAGCCCGGGGCCCAACCCCGGGACUGCUCUUGGAACUGCGUGGCUGGAGUGCAGGAGGGGCAGGCGGAAUUCCUGGUGUAGCGGUGAAAUGCGAAGAUAUCAGGAGGAACACCGGUGGCGAAGGCGGCCUGCUGGACUGCAACUGACGUUGAGGCCCGAAAGCGUGGGGAGCAAACAGG
RNAcentral lists this ribosomal RNA (253 nucleotides) under uncultured bacterium. Its description in RNAcentral is "partial 16S ribosomal RNA". It matches the Rfam family "Bacterial small subunit ribosomal RNA", at positions 524 to 776 of the family's 1533-position model. The record is from RNAcentral.